GUUUCCGUAGUGUAGUGAUUAUCACGUUCGCCUCACACGCGAAAGGUCCCCAGUUCGAAACUAGGCGGAAACA
Non-coding RNA from Danio rerio (zebrafish), 73 nucleotides. The record is from Rfam. NCBI's taxonomy places the organism in Eukaryota, Metazoa, Chordata, Actinopteri, Cypriniformes, Danionidae.